GGACGGGAUGUUCUCUGAGGGUCCGCUGUUGGGGUUUUGUAAAGUUCAUCUCUGACGAUUAUACUGAAGAGAUGUACAUAAAGCAGAAGAUGCAGUGAGUUCAUUGAUGAGAGCCAACAAACAAGAUAACUGGAACUUAUGUGGAUGGAGCAACCGAGCUGACUGAACUUCAGAGAUGCUAUGGGUCAUCAACACCACCAUUCUUCAAACCUUUAAAAUAUCCUAGGACAACAACCAUCUUGCCGGAUCAUUCUCGCCCGGAGGGGACAACAUGUCCUGAGCGCAAUUGACCUUGCCAGGGUCAGGUCACGACCUGUGAUGCCACCCAGGUCAUACCAGAGGGAAGAGGUCAUCAAAGCAACGUACGAAGUAGGGGUCAAGGUGUAAUUCCCUAUGUGACCUAUUUGGCACGUGGAUCCAGCAGCUUUGGACGCUUCUAGUUUUUCCAACCAUUUUACGGUUUCUGUCCCCCACAGAUGGGAAGACAGUGUUUGCUGACAAAAAAAGUUGAGAGCUGUACAUGUGUACGUUCUUACGUGGGAGUAUUUUGACACCCUCUUUAAUUAGUGCCAGUUGCAAUAUUCCAGAUUCGGCAAUCGAUUGCAUUGUAGAACAGCUAGUAAAAACUCAACUGGAUAUUGAGAUGCAAACGACCCAAGUAAAGUCUGCCUCACAUGGACUUCUGCCUGAAAAAAGACAGAAGUGCUGCACUUCUUCACACAUGCGCCUUGAAAAGAGCCACCCCUGCGUAUCUCAAUUGACAGAAUGGAGUUGGUAUGCAGAUGAACAGUUUGGCUCUUUUGUAGCGGUAAUGCUUGACAGAGAUGUGGACAGUAAACUGAUCAAAGGAAACUCUGCUUGUGGCAGUGUUUACAAACUUGUCUUAACCAAGAACAUAAAGAAAUAUAGCAAUACAUGAGCAUGUACUGUCCAAAGCUAGUCUUGCGUCUUGUCUAUAUGGUGCGGAUACAUACUGGGUUGUCAGCCUUUGAUACCUGCUGCUCCUUUAGUGUGUUUCCAUUACUGUUGCUUCUACACUAAUGUGGACACAAACUGGACUGAUUUCAUCCGGGGCAGUAGAGGUCUUUAGUAUGUUGCAUGUUGAAUUGAGAAAGAUGUGUCUCCACGUUUCAGGAUCAUAACCUACUAAAGAUUGUUCAGUACACAGAACUAUGUACUUAUGAUCUUGACAGAGGAGCACUGUGGAAGAGAUAUGCAGACAUCUUAAAAAAUCUCUCAUCACUUGCUGCAUCAACCACUACUAGUGUGGAAGGCAAGCUGCUGAUGAUUGUGUUAGCUGGAGAUUGGCCUUGUCAACCAGGCCCCCUACUUCAAAGGCAGCCUCAAGCAUUGGCACAUAAUUGGAGAAGCAGCAGAUGUUAGAGAAACUGUGAUGUUUCAGCACUGUUUAGCAUAGGCUGUAUUAGCUACCAUACUACCUAAGUGCCUUUCAUGCAGACCUCCAGCUGACUCAGUGCUUGUGUACAGUCAUCACCAACAAAGAUGAUAUGAUGGAUGUGACUUGCAAUAGACUGAACUUCUGAUUCGUUUGUACAGGUUUCUGUGCUUGGCCACGUUACAGUGCCGUCAUCCAGCCUUCAAGCAUGGUUCA
This 1612-nucleotide long non-coding RNA is filed under the name Patiria miniata (bat star). Its description in RNAcentral is "uncharacterized LOC119726170". The record is from RNAcentral. Lineage: Eukaryota; Metazoa; Echinodermata; Asteroidea; Valvatida; Asterinidae.